This 1286-nucleotide ribosomal RNA is filed under the name uncultured bacterium. Its description in RNAcentral is "bacterial SSU rRNA". It matches the Rfam family "Bacterial small subunit ribosomal RNA", at positions 66 to 1345 of the family's 1533-position model. The record is from RNAcentral.
GGGGCAGCGGGGUAGUGCUUGCACUACUGCCGGCGACCGGCGCACGGGUGAGUAACACGUAUGGAACCUGCCCGCAGCAGGGGGAUAAGCGGAAGAAAUUCCGUCUAAUACCGCGUAACAACGUUGGGAGGCAUCUCCCGAUGUUUAAAGAUUUAUCGGCUGCGGAUGGCCAUGCGGCGCAUUAGCUAGUCGGCGGGGUAACGGCCCACCGAGGCGACGAUGCGUAGGGGUUCUGAGAGGAAGGUCCCCCACACUGGUACUGAGACACGGACCAGACUCCUACGGGAGGCAGCAGUGAGGAAUAUUGGUCAAUGGCCGAGAGGCUGAACCAGCCAAGUCGCGUGAGGGAAGACGGCCCUACGGGUUGUAAACCUCUUUUGUCGGGGAGCAAAGCGAACCACGUGUGGUUCAUUGAGAGUACCCGAGGAAAAAGCAUCGGCUAACUCCGUGCCAGCAGCCGCGGUAAUACGGAGGAUGCGAGCGUUAUCCGGAUUUAUUGGGUUUAAAGGGUGCGCAGGCGGAGGUGCAAGUCAGCGGUCAAAUUGCGGGGCUCAACCCCGUACUGCCGUUGAAACUGCAUCCCUUGAGUGCGCGAGAAGUAUGCGGAAUGCGUGGUGUAGCGGUGAAAUGCAUAGAUAUCACGCAGAACUCCGAUUGCGAAGGCAGCAUACCGGCGCGCAACUGACGCUCAUGCACGAAAGCGUGGGUAUCGAACAGGAUUAGAUACCCUGGUAGUCCACGCAGUAAACGAUGAACACUAACUGUUCGGCCAGAAUGAUGGCUGAGUGGUACAGCGAAAGCGUUAAGUGUUCCACCUGGGGAGUACGCCGGCAACGGUGAAACUCAAAGGAAUUGACGGGGGCCCGCACAAGCGGAGGAACAUGUGGUUUAAUUCGAUGAUACGCGAGGAACCUUACCCGGGCUCAAACGACACAGGAAUACUUUUGAAAGGAGGUAGCCCUACGGGGUCUGUGUCGAGGUGCUGCAUGGUUGUCGUCAGCUCGUGCCGUGAGGUGUCGGCUUAAGUGCCAUAACGAGCGCAACCCCUAUCGCCAGUUACCAUCAAGUAAAGUUGGGGACUCUGGCGAGACUGCCGGCGCAAGCUGAGAGGAAGGCGGGGAUGACGUCAAAUCAGCACGGCCCUUACGUCCGGGGCGACACACGUGUUACAAUGGCAGGUACAGAGAGAAGCCAGGUGGCGACACCGCGCGGAACUCGAAAGCCUGUCUCAGUUCGGAUCGGAGUCUGCAACCCGACUCUGUGAAGCUGGAUUCGCUAGUAAUCGC